Molecule: ribosomal RNA, 317 nt
Filed under: uncultured eukaryote
Lineage: Eukaryota
Description: partial 18S ribosomal RNA
Rfam family: Eukaryotic small subunit ribosomal RNA
Source: RNAcentral
CCCUUAGAUGGUCUGGGCGGCACGCGCGCUACAAUGAUGCAUUCAAAAAGUCUUCUGACCUUAGAAGGUUGGGUAUUCUCCAAAGUGCAUCGUGAUGGGAAUAGUUUAUUGCAAUUUUUAUCUUGAACGAGGAAUUCUUAAUAAGUACAGGUCAUCAACUUGUGUUGAUUACGUCCCUGCCCUUUGUACACACCGCCCGUCGCUCCUACCGAUUGAGCGAUCCGGUGAAUGUUUUGGACUGGCGUCAGAAGCGGUUCGCUCCUGACACUACGAAAUUUUGUAAACCUUAUCGCUUAGAGGAAGGAAAAGUCGUAACA